RNAcentral lists this ribosomal RNA (497 nucleotides) under uncultured Chloroflexota bacterium. RNAcentral's name for it is "bacterial SSU rRNA". It matches the Rfam family "Bacterial small subunit ribosomal RNA", at positions 9 to 524 of the family's 1533-position model. The record is from RNAcentral. Lineage: Bacteria; Bacillati; Chloroflexota.
GAGUUUGAUUAUGGCUCAGGAUGAAGCUGGCGGCGUGCCUAAUACAUGCAAGUCGAACGAGGUGCUUUUGUAGCAAUACGAGAGAUCCUAGUGGCGAACGGGUGAGUAACGCGUUGGUGACCUGCCCCAAAGUGUGGGAUAACGUCCGAAAGGAUUGCUAAUACCGCAUGUGGUCAUCGGGUUUAGAAACCGAUGACUAAAGAGUAAUGCGCUUUGGGAGGGACCUGCGUCCCAUCAGCUAGUUGGUAGGGUAAUGGCCUACAAGGCGACGACGGGUAGGGGACCUGAGAGGGUGGCCCCCCACAAUGGAACUGAAACACGUCCAUACACCUACGGGUGGCAGCAGUAGGGAAUAUUGCUCAAUGGGCGAAAGCCUGAACAGCAACGCCGCGUGUGCGAUGAAGGUCUUCGGAUCGUAAAGCACUUUUCUGAGAGAUGGAAAGGACAGUAUCUCAGGAAUAAGUCUCGGCUAACUACGUGCCAGCAGCCGCGGUAAU